RNAcentral lists this ribosomal RNA (464 nucleotides) under uncultured bacterium. RNAcentral's name for it is "bacterial SSU rRNA". It matches the Rfam family "Bacterial small subunit ribosomal RNA", at positions 50 to 507 of the family's 1533-position model. The record is from RNAcentral.
AAAGUUAGCGUGCUGUCACAAACUAGGACGUGGAUUCCCACUUAGUGGCAGACGGGUGAGUAAUGCAAUGGGUAACCUACCUAGGGACUGGACAACUAUUGAACGAUAGCUAAUACCGGAUGAUUCAUAGAUAGAUAACUAUUUAUGCUAAAGGAGCUUCGGCUCACCUUAGGAUGGGCCCGUGUUGUAUUAGCUAGUUGGUGAGGUAAUGGCUUACCAAGGCUACGAUGCAUAUCCGAGCUGAGAGGCUGAUCGGACACAUUGGAACUGAGAUACGGUCCAAACUCCUACGGGAGGCAGCAGUUAGGAAUAUUCGUCAAUGGGGGGAACCCUGAACGAGCAAUGCCGCGUGAGUGAUGAAGGUCUUAAUGAUUGUAAAACUCUGUUGCAAAGGGAGAACAGCUAUCAUAGGAAAUGAUGAUAGUGUGACGGUACUUUGCCAGAAAGCCCCGGCUAACUACGUG